AAUAUGGCUAAAGAGCUCGUAGUGUUUGCCCGUCUCCGUGAAAGUCCGGGGCUCAACUCCGGAUCUGCGGUGGGUACGGGCAGACUAGAGUGAUGUAGGGGAGACUGGAAUUCCUGGUGUAGCGGUGAAAUGCGCAGAUAUCAGGAGGAACACCGAUGGCGAAGGCAGGUCUCUGGGCAUUAACUGACGCUGAGGAGCGAAAGCAUGGGGAGCGAACAGGAUUAGAUACCCUGGUAGUCCAUGCCGUAAACGUUGGGCACUAGGUGUGGGGGACAUUCCACGUUUUCCGCGCCGUMKAACGCAUUAAGUGCCCG
RNAcentral lists this ribosomal RNA (314 nucleotides) under uncultured bacterium. RNAcentral describes it as "bacterial SSU rRNA". It matches the Rfam family "Bacterial small subunit ribosomal RNA", at positions 561 to 870 of the family's 1533-position model. The record is from RNAcentral.